RNAcentral lists this ribosomal RNA (295 nucleotides) under uncultured bacterium. RNAcentral describes it as "partial 16S ribosomal RNA". It matches the Rfam family "Bacterial small subunit ribosomal RNA", at positions 775 to 1067 of the family's 1533-position model. The record is from RNAcentral.
GGAUUAGAUACCCUGGUAGUCCACACUGUAAACGAUGAGUGCUAGAUAUUGGGUUUUAUUAUUCAGUGUCGUAGCUAACGCGUUAAGCACUCCGCCUGGGGACUACGGUCGCAAGACUAAAACUCAAAGGAAUUGACGGGGGCCCGCACAAGCGGUGGAGCAUGUGGUUUAAUUCGAUGCUACGCGAAAAACCUUACCAACCCUUGAAAUGAUAGGUCGCGGAAUCCAGAGAUGGAUUUCUUCAGUUCGGCUGGACUUAUCACAGGUGUUGCAUGGCUGUCGUCAGCUCGUGCCG